This 20-nucleotide non-coding RNA is filed under the name Arabidopsis thaliana (thale cress). The record is from RNAcentral. Lineage: Eukaryota; Viridiplantae; Streptophyta; Magnoliopsida; Brassicales; Brassicaceae.
UAAUCUCAGAUUGGUUACCC